UUUAAACAGAUGUGUUUUGAGUUUUGUUUUGAAAAGGGUAAAACUGUCGAUGUUCCUGAUGUCUGGGGGAAGUGAGUUCCAGAGUCGAGGAGCAGAGCGGCUGAAAGGAAGCAUUUCCCCUUCAGCCUUUUUGUUGGAGAUGCUUUGAUCUGUUCAAUCACAGCUAAGAUCUUCAGCACUUAAAAAAUUUUCAUUUUAUCCCAUCAGCUCGCCCAGUCCUGUUUUUAAAUUUUGACAUGUUUUUUUUACAAGACCUUGACUGUUUUUGAAGCGACUACUUUGCUGUGGUGAUCCUUCGAGUGAUCAGGAGAGGACAACUGACACCUGACUUUUUAUGACGCAAAAACAGAAUUUUCCCUGCAGAUUUCCAGCUUUACUCCAGAAACUCAAGAAACACAAGCUCCAAAUCACUAAACCAGAUCUGUCUUGACAAUAAAAUAUAAAUUACAGAUUUUCUUGAUUUUUGCAGUAGCCUCUUUUCACAACAUCUCGUCUCCUCUUUCCCACCAAGGAUAUGAAAAGAUGUUUCGCAACAUAGAGAUAGAUGGGGAAAUGAAACCCAGUAAAACAUUCUCACUGUUACUGAUUUCCAUGUUAACAUAAGUGCAGCAACAUGAGUACAAUAUUUGUGCGUGGCCUUAACAUUUAUUACAAAACUAAUUGUCAGGGGAAUGUUUAGGAGAUAAACUUUAUCUGGAGCCUCGGUUUGAAUCUGGUAUACUGGGAGACGUGAUGUGAACAUAGACUGGAAUGUGUUAGAUAAGCUGCUGCCAGCCUUUCAGAGCAUUACAACCAGGAAGAGCCAGAGUCAAAGGUCACGCAGAUACGUACACAAAAGCUCCAUUCAGCCAUUUAGAAGCGUUCUCACUGUAAAUACAGUUCUCAAGUUCCAGGUUUCCACGAAGGGCUUUAUUAAUCUUCAGUGACCCAACAGCUGAUUUAUGACCGGGUUCUUCUGAGAAUGCAUCUAAGUUAAAGAAUAAAAACAUAAAAAAGGCUAACUACUGAAUAAAAAAGUUGUGCUCAUUCCAUUUUACAGAUAAGAGAAAUAGGAUCAAAUGCAUGAUUGGGUCAGAGUCCACAUUAGGUGUGGAACUGGAGCGGCGUAGCCUCACCCUGGUGACUCAGGCUGAAAUGAAAAAUCACUGCUUAACAUUCUAAGUAACCAUUUAUCAGACAUUGUCUGAAUAGAACAAUAAAUGUACGUUUGAAACUAUUUAAGUUGAUUGCAAUGAUGACUGAAAUACUCCAGCAGGAGAGGUGAAGGUAAAAGUCCAUCCAUUCUUCUAUAUUCUGCUUUGCAAAGAUGAAGUAGUAUUCUUCUCCACAGCGACACACUCCCCUUUGAGGCGUUCGAAGAAGUUUCCUAGCUAGAGAGGAUGGAUAACUUUCUGGUAAGUUCUGGCUCUGCCCAGGCGUCUCCCCCAAGAGCCGAGGUCUGCAGCCCACAACUCUGGAGCCACUAAUGGUUCUUUCAGUCUUCCACAACCUGGCUCUAAUUAAUUUAGGUAAAAAAAAGAUUUAGAAAAACCUAACUUAAAAAAAUGUGAAUAUAAUAAAAAUGCUGGUUAAAACAAUUUCAGUUUUUAUGGAAUUGCUGCCUUGAGUUUUAACAGCAGAAUGACCCUAAAAGUACCAGAAAUAUUUUUAGAUAUUUUAUUAUUAAUAUAUUUUUUCACAAUUUUCAACAAAUAUUGACAUCCCAUAAAAAAUAGUGUUUUUUUUUUGUUUUAGGGAAAAAUUGCAUUUAUUUUUUUUCUUAUUUUGAAACCUAAAAAUAGAAACAAAAUGAUGCUUUUAAAGAUCACAGCAAACAUCUUUUAAUGAAGAAAGAGAUUUGUGACUUUUUUCUCAGAAUCUGAGACCCUUUUCAAGUGGAUGUGAUCCUCUUCCUUUUUAAAAACUCUAAAUUGUAACGGUUGCAGACCCUUGUCUUGAGGGACAUGCAGGAGUCUCUGACUCCUCUGGGUGGGGAGAACUGUGGCUUCAUCACAUCCUCCAUCCUCACCUGAACCCAGUCCCCUAGAGGGAGCUCGUAUCAUUUACUUCUUCUCCAGACCUCGCUCUCUUUGCCAAGAUCCAAAUCUAAUGACCCUAGAUAAGGUUUGGAAUAUAUGGACCAGCACAUAAAGAACGAUCCUUUUCACUUCACUACUGACUUCUUCUCCACUACAGACUGGAGCAGCCCUCAGUUUUGUAGAUGAUACCCCAGUUCAUCAGGCAGUCCAUUGCUUUGUCCAGAUUUGUUUAUCACUUACAAACCAGAGACCAAGAUACUUAAACAUCUUCAACCAGAGGCUUCCUCGUACUAACAAGGGAGUAUUUCACCCUUUUAUGGACAGGACCCAUGGUCACAGCACCUUGGGUUACUGGUGUUUGGUCAGGCAUGGAGCAGGACUCAUUAGACCCUGGAGGUGUUGAGGAGCAAUGGUGGUAGGCUCAGAUUAUGUUUAAAGUUUAAUUAUGCCAUGGACGUAAUUUUGGGGGAGGACAGGGGGGACAUGUCCCCCCCCACCCCACUUUUCCCAAAGUCAAGUUUUGACCCCUGCACUUUUUACCAUCCAAAAACAACAUUACGCUAUAUUAAAUUGACACUGGUUGAGCUCUAGGACCAAGCGGAAAACAACCGUUUGUGUUGAAGCCUGUUUCCCAUUAGAACAUACUGGCUGUGUCUCAAUUCAGGGUCUGCAUCCUACCUCGGCCGGAUUCGUCGGCCGGUUACGUCACAGCGCCGCGACUCGGCCUGUCCCAAUUCGAAGACUCCUUCAAAUGCGGUCGACGAAUGCGGCCUUCUUUUCGCCUGAAUGAAGGAUGGGUCGGGUGUAUCCUUCAAUAGGUAGCAUUUCCCAAGAUGCCUUGCGGGCCGGCCGGCAGAAAAACUUAAAAACAAUGGCGGACAGUGAAGCGGGAGCUGUCGGAGAGGAUUGCGCAUAUAAAUGUAAGUAUAAACUUGAAAACUGUCAGUUUAAGGACUUUUUGUGAUACAUGAACGUUAUUUUAGUUAGAAAUGUUACAGUAAAAGUGCUUGUAUUGCGGUCUCGGCUCGUAUGUUCGGCCGCGCUCGGUGUCGUACUUCUCCCACUACGUUUCCCCCUGAUUUUAAUAGAAGUUUGUAUUUUAGGACCAAAAGAGAAAACCAGGGAAUUUAUUAAGCUUAGGGCGGAGAUGGACCACAUGAUCACCGGAGCAAAGUAUUCGGCGGCUGUGGCAUGGAGACUAUUCUGGAGAAAAUGGGCAUCCAGGGGAAGGUGCCAGCGAUGAGCUUCUGGAGCUGAUCUGGGAGGACAUGAGGCUGCAGAGCAGCAGAGAGCACAGGAGAGAAGGAAGAACUUUGACAGCUUUUUACUUUGCUAGAAAAAAAUGGUUAAUGAAGAUUAAACAUGUACAUGUAAAAGAAAUAUCUAAAUAAAAUCAGUUCUGCAUUAAA
This is a non-coding RNA of Nothobranchius furzeri (turquoise killifish), 3427 nucleotides long. Lineage: Eukaryota; Metazoa; Chordata; Actinopteri; Cyprinodontiformes; Nothobranchiidae. The record is from RefSeq and is a predicted model, not a curated record.